This 70-nucleotide transfer RNA is filed under the name Popenaias popeii. RNAcentral's name for it is "tRNA-Glu". The record is from RNAcentral. Lineage: Eukaryota; Metazoa; Mollusca; Bivalvia; Unionida; Unionidae.
GCCAAUUAAGUGUUUAUACCUACGCACAUUGACUUUUCACGUCAAAAGAGCAUAUCAAAUGCAUUUGGCU